Molecule: long non-coding RNA, 2450 nt
Filed under: Pan troglodytes (chimpanzee)
Lineage: Eukaryota; Metazoa; Chordata; Mammalia; Primates; Hominidae
Description: long non-coding RNA NONPTRT016555
Source: RNAcentral
AUUGCUUGAACCCAGGAGGCAGAGGUUGCAGUGAGCAAAGAUCAUGCCACUGACUCCAGCCUGUAUGACAGAGCUCAAAAAAAAAAAAUAAGAUAAAACAUAGAUACAGAAAACCACAAAGGAAAAACAUAGCAUAUUGAAUCAUCACGAUGCAGCCACCCCUUCAUAGCCACACCUGGCCCCUGGCCACCACUGACCUGUGCUCCAUCGCCAGAAUUCCGUUGUCUCAGGAAUGUUCGAUGAAUAGAAUCCUGUGUGGCCUGAGAUGAGUGUCUUUCAUGCCACGUGACACCCUUGAGGCCCGUGCAAGCUGUUGGUAUGUCAACAGUUAGCUGCUUCUCAUUGCUGAGUGGCGAUUGGUCCUGUCAUGCUUUAUUCAGCCAUGUGGUGGAUGGCUACUUGUCUUCUAAGCCACUUGUUUUCUGAUUGCUGGACUUACUGUCUCGCCCUCUCUUGGUGCAGCCCUCGGAAGGGUCGGUCACAUUCUCCGAGAGCACAGCCAUCAUCUCCCACGGUACCACAGGCCUGGUCACAUGGGACGCCGCCCUCUACCUUGCAGAACGGGCCAUCGAAAACCCGGUAGCCUUCACUAACAGACUUGCUGUAUUGCCCAGAAGCCAUCGUGUCACUGGUCGGGGUUCUGUGGAGGCUGGCUGCCUGCCAAGAGCACAAGCGGGCUCCUGAGGUCUACAUGGCCUUUACCGUCCGCAACCCAGAGACGUGCCAGCUGUUCACCACGGAGCUAGGCUGGGCUGGGAUCAGAUGGGAAGCGGAAGCUCAUCAUGACCAGAAACUGUUUCCCUACGGAGAGCACUUGGAGAUGGCAAUGCUGAACCUCACACUGUAGGACUCACACACGACUCCAACGGGAUUGUGAGAAUCAAGUCACUCUCGUGGGAAGAAUUUUUAUAUGAGAAAGGGGAUAAAACUUUCAUUGGACUGGAAUGUUUGGAGAAUGUUAAAUUCCAAAUCAGGAACCACAAACUGCCCUCUAAUAAGACAUCGGCUAUCUAAGCGUGUGGGUGCCCCCUUUCUGCCAGCAGUUCUGGUUCUUAAGAAAAUCACCAUAAAUCAGACAUGAAAAUUCUGGCUCCAAAAAUAGCAUUUUCUUUGUGCAAAUAAAAACGUGUGUAUCAACUAUGACGUUCCCCCACGUGGACACACUCGGUUCCUCAUAAAACCAAGCCUGCUGCAGCUGCCACAUCCCUGGACACAUUCGAUUCCUCACAAAGCCAAGCCCGCUGCAGUUGCCACAUCCCCGGACACACUCGGUUCCUCACAAAUCUAAGCCCGCUGCAGCUGCCACAUCCCUGGGCUUAUGGUGCAGCAGGUGCUUUUUUCAAGACAGGAAUCAAAGUGUUAGGAACAUGGAAGAAAGGUGACACCUGGAGACCAAAUGCAGGAUUGGGAGUACUGUAGAGGUCACAGGGAAGUCACAGAACAGUAAUAUGCUAGCAGGGGCAUGGGGCGUGAAGAACAGAAGACAGGAAGCGUUUCGGAGACUCCAAAGAAGAAAUCAGGGCCAACCACAGCUUCCCGGGUCAUUCACCAGGUGGCACCACUGCCGUCAUUUCAGCUUCUGGCCACUGGGAGGCGCUGCUCAAAAGGAUUUGCCCUGAGACUCCAAGAAGAAGCUGUGGGAAGGACAGCAGGGGCCCUGGGGUUUUAGCCUCUGGCCCAGGAGUUAUGUGUCCAUAACCAAAGGGAGCACAGUCUGCACCCAGCUCUCAUCCCAUCAGAGCUGCUGAGACUCCCGCAGGUUCUUCCAGAACUGGUUUAGCUUGCCUGCAGGAUCAGGAAAGUUUGAGAAAGGCAUCUGCAAAAUACUAAAGAGCAGAGCUUACCUCAUUGCCUGUCCCCACCCCAUCCCAGGUCACCACCUGGAUGACCCCAGCUCCCCGACCCAACAACAACCCCUCCCAAGUCCCUAACUCCCUCACUUGGACUUGAGACCCUUCACACCCCAGCAGCGCUCUGCCUCCAACUUGACAUCAUGCUUUCUGGAAACUUCCCCGUAUGUCCCACUUUCCCACACUUGGUGCGCUGGAGCACCUUCCGGCCUCCACAUGCUGUACGUUCCCCUGUGAGCACCGUCCUCUCAGCCUCUGGCCAACACAGUCCCACCCAUCUGUGGGUAACAAGGGGGUGUGGGUGUUCUUUACAGCCUUGCUAAACUGUCUGAAUCAAGGAUCACAAACUACAGCCUGCAGGCCAAACCCAGCCCACAGCCUGUGUUUGUAAAUAAAGCUUUGUUGGAACAAAGCCACACCCCUUAUUCUACAGAUGCUGUGGCUACUUUCGCACCACAACAGAGUACCAUGGUUCUGACAGAGACUGGGGGACCCAGUCUAAAUGACUUCUGACCUGGACCUUUACUGAAAAUCCUCCCAAUCAUUCUGUUGACAAGAAUGAUGUAUUACUUUUUGCAAUAAGAAACAAGUAACCUUUGC